Molecule: ribosomal RNA, 395 nt
Filed under: uncultured bacterium
Lineage: Bacteria
Description: bacterial SSU rRNA
Rfam family: Bacterial small subunit ribosomal RNA
Source: RNAcentral
GUAUGCAAUCUACCUUUGCAGAGGGAUAGCCCAGAGAAAUUUGGAUUAAUACCUCAUAGUAUAGUACUUUGGCAUCAAGGAACUAUUAAAGUCACAACGGCAAAAGAUGAGCAUGCGUCCCAUUAGCUAGUUGGUAAGGUAACGGCUUACCAAGGCUACGAUGGGUAGGGGUCCUGAGAGGGAGAUCCCCCACACUGGUACUGAGACACGGACCAGACUCCUACGGGAGGCAGCAGUGGGGAAUUUUGGACAAUGGGCGCAAGCCUGAUCCAGCAAUGCCGCGUGCAGGAUGAAGGCCUUCGGGUUGUAAACUGCUUUGUACGGAACGAAACGGUGAGCUCUAAUACAGUUUGCUAAUGACGGUACCGUAAGAAUAAGCACCGGCUAACUACGUG